AUGGGUCUCUUCAGAAGAGCCCUCACCAACUGUCAGCUUAAGGAGCUGAAGCUGCAGAACCGGAGGUUUACUUGGAGCAACGAAAGGGAGACCCCUACUCUUGUGCGUCUGGAUCGGGCUUUCUGCAAUGCUACUUGGGACCUCAUGUUCGAGAAUCAUGUGUUACAUGCCCUAUCCUCGUCCCUCUCGGACCAC
Molecule: ribosomal RNA, 195 nt
Filed under: Triticum aestivum (bread wheat)
Lineage: Eukaryota; Viridiplantae; Streptophyta; Magnoliopsida; Poales; Poaceae
Description: partial small subunit ribosomal RNA
Source: RNAcentral